RNAcentral lists this ribosomal RNA (371 nucleotides) under uncultured bacterium. Its description in RNAcentral is "bacterial SSU rRNA". It matches the Rfam family "Bacterial small subunit ribosomal RNA", at positions 527 to 898 of the family's 1533-position model. The record is from RNAcentral.
GUAGGGUGCAGGCGUUAAUCGGAAUUACUGGGCGUAAAGCGUGCGCAGGCGGCUCUUUAAGUCAGAUGUGAAAGCCCCGGGCUUAACCUGGGAAUUGCGUUUGAAACUGGAGAGCUGGAGUGUGGAAGAGGGGGGUGGAAUUCCAGGUGUAGCAGUGAAAUGCGUAGAGAUCUGGAGGAACACCGAUGGCGAAGGCAGCCCCCUGGGCUAACACUGACGCUCAUGCACGAAAGCGUGGGGAGCAAACAGGAUUAGAUACCCUGGUAGUCCACGCCCUAAACGAUGUCAACUGGUUGUCGGGGAAGCAAUUCCUUGGUAACGAAGCUAACGCGUGAAGUUGACCGCCUGGGGAGUACGGCCGCAAGGUUAAA